Candoia aspera is the source of this 1150-nucleotide long non-coding RNA. RefSeq lists it as uncharacterized. Lineage: Eukaryota; Metazoa; Chordata; Lepidosauria; Squamata; Candoiidae. The transcript has 2 exons. The record is from RefSeq and is a predicted model, not a curated record.
GAAGGGGUGCGACGCUUCUGAUUUCCUGCAGUGCCAGAUACGUCACACUGGUAUAUGCCUCAGAGUUCUCCUUCCACCCAUUGCUAUUCCCAGGUUAUUGCCAGCUUAAUUUGCAAGCAGCCCUCCCCGGUCAGGUGCCCUCCAGAGGCAUCGGGACCACAACUCUGGAACUCCAAAGGCAGGAAUUCUGGGAGGGGUGUCUGGAGGGCCCCGUUUACAGAAAGGUGACCAUGAUCUGAGGAAAGGAACAGAUGUCUCUGGCUGGUGCAAAAGCAGCACAGGGCAAAAGGAAAAAGCUGUCAAGUUAGUAGACUAAGCAAGAGAGUGAAAGCAGAGGAUGCAGAAACAGAGAAAGGAGGGAAGGUUUUGGAGUAAGAUUUGCACAGGAAUUAUUAAAGGCUGAAAUUUUUAAAAAAAAUAUGUAUGUAUGUAUCUAUCUAUCUAUCAAGCAGGAACAAACCAUUUCUGUCCUGUGCCAAGAGAAAUCCAAGGCAGCGUCAAUGCAGGCAGCAGGACUUGAGCUUGGUACAAACACGCACACACACACACAAAUAGUGAUGGGAUAUGUAGCAAAGGUAGCUGGACCAUGGCAAAAUCCUCAUUUUGUCUUUUUAAUUUUAAAGGCACUUUUAUUUGCCCCUAAUAGGAAAGUUGUGGACUAAUCUUAAGUAUCUUCCAUCGCAAACCAGCCAGGGGUGUCCAGAAAGAGUCAAGAUGGCAGCUGCAAUCGCACAGUCAAAGCCUCACCUCCUUUUUAUGUGUGUCACAUAUGCAACACAUGUAAAACAAGGUCAGGGCUUUGAUCAUGGAGGCUCAGCUGCCACCUUGACUUGUUUGACCUCUUGUGAAUAUCCCUGAGGUUAGCAAUUUAGGCUAUAUGAAGAACUUCUCUUUUCUUAAAAGCUGGUUAAAACCUGUUCCAUUUCUUCUAUUUGUUUUAAACUGGAAGAAAAACAAAUUAUCCCUACCAGUCUCGUUUUAUUCAUCUGAUUCCUUUCUAAGUUGGUUGGAUGGUGUCAUGAGUCACAAACCAUCCACAGCCAUGUCUCUUGCACAUAAACUCCUUAAAGAGGCCAUCUUUCUUUCAUGACAUUUCUAAGCUAAUGUUGUAAAUAUUUAAAUAAAAGAAAUGUGGUUUUAUUUGUCAAAA